Oxyura jamaicensis (ruddy duck) is the source of this 1148-nucleotide long non-coding RNA. RefSeq lists it as uncharacterized. The transcript is spliced from 2 exons. The record is from RefSeq and is a predicted model, not a curated record. Lineage: Eukaryota; Metazoa; Chordata; Aves; Anseriformes; Anatidae.
CUCUCCUCUCCACUCCUCUCCUCUCCUCUCCUAGCUUCACUUUUUUUUCCAUUUUUUUUUUCAAUUCAGGCCAAAGCCAAACACCAAAGGAGUAAAUUUCCCUUCCUUUAAUAAUGCUGAUUUAGGGACCAUCGUGUCAUCUGAGUCCUCCUACAAGUCUGCUUCACACGCCAUACCAGCAUUGCUGUUUCGGAGCCCGCCGUCCUGAGAACCACUAAAUGGACAUGCAGCAAUCAGCAGUAGUUGCUUUUCUUUUUUGUUUUAUUUUAUUUUAUUUUAUUUUAUUUUAUUUCAUUUCAUUUUUCUUAUUACUAUUUUUUUUAAUUCUCAGUAGCCAAAGCAGCUCAUGGUCUCUUACUGCACGAUGACUUUAAACUUUCUGGGAUGUGAUUGCAUUAGAGCAGUGCCUGUUCCGGAGUCCAUCCGAGGAAAUGGCAAGGCUCCCGGCGGAAUUUGGCUAGCCAUCCCGCGAAGCCCCGGAGGCCAGGGGUGGUGCGGGAGAGGCUGGUGCUAACGAAAGCAUUCUGGUUGGCAGCAAAUGUAUUUAUUUUCCAGACUUUGCAAACCGAUCUGUGUCUGCGCUCAUUCAUUCAGUGCAUGCUCUCCUCAACAGCCGCUGCACAGCGUUCUGUUAGUGUUCACUGUUGACCGUGUGUCUACAUUUAAGUGUGUGUUUUAUGUGUGUGUCUCUGGCUAGGCCUCCUCCAUCCUUAUUUUUUUCCUUUUUUUUUUCUUUUCUUCUUCCUUUCUUUGAUUUCUUUCCGUUCAGUUGGUUUGUUUUGCUUUCCUUCUUGUUUCGUUUUAUAUAGUUUAAUGGCAAGUAUUUCCAUUAGAGCUUUUUGAUUGAUGCUGUGUUUGUAACUUUUUUUUUUGAUUAUUAUUUUUAUAUAUAUCUUCUUUCCCUACCUUUCCCUUUUUCCACACUAUAUAUAAAUAUAUAUAUAUAUAUAAAAAAAAUCUUUUCUUCUUUUGUCAUUCAAUCAAAUUCCAACAAAACCAACCAAGAGCCAGUCAAAUCCACCACAGUCUCGCGCUGAGCUAGGAAAAAAGUUCACGUAAUGACAUGAAAGUGGAGAAUACAGUCCCCCAGGCCGGCAGCAGCUGAAUGGGCCACAUUUAGAAAAAAAAAAAAAAAAAAAAAAAAAAAA